RNAcentral lists this ribosomal RNA (460 nucleotides) under uncultured bacterium. Its description in RNAcentral is "partial 16S ribosomal RNA". It matches the Rfam family "Bacterial small subunit ribosomal RNA", at positions 338 to 795 of the family's 1533-position model. The record is from RNAcentral.
CCUACGGGUGGCAGCAGGGAGGAAUAUUGGUCAAUGGACGAGAGUCUGAACCAGCCAAGUAGCGUGAAGGAUGACGGCCCUAUGGGUUGUAAACUUCGUUUAUAUGGGAAUAAAACGUUCCACGUGUGGGAUUUUGUAUGUACCAUAUGAAUAAGGAUAGGAUAACUCCGUGCCAGCAGCCGCGGUAAUACGGAGGAGCCGAGCGUUAUCCGGAUUUAUUGGGUUUAAAGGGAGCGUAGGUGGGUUGUUAAGUUCGUUGUGAAAGUUUGCGGCUCAACCGUAAAAUUGCAGUUGAAACUGGCAGUCUUGAGUACCGUAGAGGUGGGCGGAAUUCGUGGUGUAGCGGUGAAAUGCUUAGAUAUCACGAAGAACUCCGAUUGCGAAGGCAGUUCACUGGACUGCAACUGACACUGAGGCUCGAAAGUGUGGGUAUCAAACAGGAUUAGCUACCCGUGUAGUC